AAUGGAUGAUCGGAUUAUUCAAUUUAAGAUUAGAGUUAUUGAUCUUUAUUUAGGUAGUGAAUAGAAUUUUCUAUCACAAAUUCAAAAUAUUACAAUUCUUUUACACAGUUAAACUAGCAAAUAUUCCAUACCGGCCGUUAAAAAUUGUCAAUUUUGUGACCUUUUGAUCGUAAGGUAAAUAAUGUCGAAAAAUUAUAAAAUUUGAUUUCUAAAUAUUUUAAAUGCCCUAGAUAAUGUUUAAUGGUAUGGAUCGUCAAUUUGAAAGCUUUAUCAUCGAAAACGACUUUAAAGUAUAAGGACGAUCGUACUCAUAAGUAUAUGGGCAAUCGAA
This 331-nucleotide long non-coding RNA is filed under the name Ananas comosus (pineapple). RNAcentral describes it as "long non-coding RNA (ACOM_LNC023882)". The record is from RNAcentral. Lineage: Eukaryota; Viridiplantae; Streptophyta; Magnoliopsida; Poales; Bromeliaceae.